GUCAGCUUUUGUGGAUAUAUUCCCAUAAAAGUUGAUUCACAAACCGAGACAACGAAAUGUAGUAGCCGAUGCAUUAAGUAGAAGGGUGGCCUUAAUUAAAACCCUUAGAGUGGAGAUUGUAGAAUUUGAGUAUUUGAAAGAUUUAUAUGUGAAUGAUGAGGAUUUUAAAGAAGCAUGGGGCAAGUGUAUGCUGAACCAAUCCCAUGAUGAUUAUUUUGUGCAUGAUGAUUAUCUCAUGAAAGGUGGACAACUU
Molecule: unclassified non-coding RNA, 253 nt
Filed under: Hevea brasiliensis (rubber tree)
Lineage: Eukaryota; Viridiplantae; Streptophyta; Magnoliopsida; Malpighiales; Euphorbiaceae
Source: RNAcentral